UACGGAGGAUGCGAGCGUUAUCCGGAUUUAUUAGGUUUAAAGGGUGCGUAGGCGGACUGUCAAGUCAGCGGUAAAAUUGAGAGGCUCAACCUCUUCCCGCCGUUGAAACUGGUGGUCUUGAGUGGAUGAGAAGUACGCGGAAUGCGUGGUGUAGCGGUGAAAUGCAUAGAUAUCACGCAGAACUCCGAUUGCGAAGGCAGCGUACCGGCAUCCAACUGACGCUGAGGCACGAAAGCGUGGGGAUCAAACAGG
This 252-nucleotide ribosomal RNA is filed under the name uncultured bacterium. RNAcentral's name for it is "partial 16S ribosomal RNA". It matches the Rfam family "Bacterial small subunit ribosomal RNA", at positions 524 to 776 of the family's 1533-position model. The record is from RNAcentral.